AACGAACGCUGGCGGCAUGCUUAACACAUGCAAGUCGAACGAGAUCGUUCGGAUCUAGUGGCGCACGGGUGCGUAACGCGUGGGGAUCUACCAUAGGGUACGGAAUAACUCAGAGAAAUUUGUGCUAAUACCGUAUAAUGUCGCAAGACCAAAGAUUUAUCGCCCUUUGAUGAACCCGCGUAAGAUUAGCUAGUUGGUGUGGUAAAGGCUCACCAAGGCGACGAUCUUUAGCUGGUCUGAGAGGAUGAUCAGCCACACUGGGACUGAGACACGGCCCAG
RNAcentral lists this ribosomal RNA (279 nucleotides) under uncultured bacterium. Its description in RNAcentral is "partial 16S ribosomal RNA". It matches the Rfam family "Bacterial small subunit ribosomal RNA", at positions 29 to 334 of the family's 1533-position model. The record is from RNAcentral.